UGAGUAACACGUAUCCAACCUGCCGUCUACUCUUGACAGCCUUCUGAAGGAAGAUUAAUCCAGGAUGGCAUCAUGAGUUCACAUGUCCGCAUGAUUAAAGGUAUUUUCCGGUAGACGAUGGGGAUGCGUUCCAUUAGAUAGUAGGCGGGGUAACGGCCCACCUAGUCAACGAUGGAUAGGGGUUCUGAGAGGAAGGUCCCCCACAUUGGAACUGAGACACGGUCCAA
RNAcentral lists this ribosomal RNA (227 nucleotides) under uncultured bacterium. Its description in RNAcentral is "partial 16S ribosomal RNA". It matches the Rfam family "Bacterial small subunit ribosomal RNA", at positions 107 to 334 of the family's 1533-position model. The record is from RNAcentral.